RNAcentral lists this ribosomal RNA (481 nucleotides) under uncultured bacterium. Its description in RNAcentral is "partial 16S ribosomal RNA". It matches the Rfam family "Bacterial small subunit ribosomal RNA", at positions 28 to 507 of the family's 1533-position model. The record is from RNAcentral.
GAUGAACGCUGGCGGCGUGCUUAACACAUGCAAGUCGAACGAAGCACUUUAUUUGAUUUCCUUCGGGACUGAUUAUUUUGUGACUGAGUGGCGGACGGGUGAGUAACGCGUGGGUAACCUGCCUUUUACAGGGGGAUAACAGUUGGAAACGGCUGCUAAUACCGCAUAAGCGCACAGCAUCGCAUGAUGCAGUGUGAAAAACUCCGGUGGUAUAAGAUGGACCCGCGUUGGAUUAGCUAGUUGGUGAGGUAACGGCCCACCAAGGCGACGAUCCAUAGCCGACCUGAGAGGGUGACCGGCCACAUUGGGACUGAGACACGGCCCAAACUCCUACGGGAGGCAGCAGUGGGGAAUAUUGCACAAUGGGCGAAAGCCUGAUGCAGCGACGCCGCGUGAGCGAAGAAGUAUUUCGGUAUGUAAAGCUCUAUCAGCAGGGAAGAUAAUGACGGUACCUGACUAAGAAGCACCGGCUAAAUACGUG